RNAcentral lists this transfer RNA (89 nucleotides) under Anaerostipes hadrus. RNAcentral's name for it is "tRNA-Ser(gct)". It matches the Rfam family "tRNA". From Rfam's summary of the family: Transfer RNA (tRNA) molecules are approximately 80 nucleotides in length. Their secondary structure includes four short double-helical elements and three loops (D, anti-codon, and T loops). The record is from RNAcentral. Lineage: Bacteria; Bacillati; Bacillota; Clostridia; Lachnospirales; Lachnospiraceae. RNAcentral also lists the same sequence under 3 other names.
GCAGAAGUACUCAAGUGGCUGAAGAGGUGCCCCUGCUAAGGGUAUAGACCGUUUACGCGGUGCGAGGGUUCAAAUCCCUCCUUCUGCGC